AGCCCUGUAAUGUACAGCAUAUAAAAUUGCAAAUUUUAAAGAACGAUUCAAUUUCCGUCGGGGCUU
RNAcentral lists this transfer RNA (66 nucleotides) under Ambystoma unisexual lineage LJJJ. RNAcentral describes it as "tRNA-Cys". Lineage: Eukaryota; Metazoa; Chordata; Amphibia; Caudata; Ambystomatidae. The record is from RNAcentral.